UACAGAGGGGGCAAGCGUUGUUCGGAAUUACUGGGCGUAAAGGGCGCGUAGGCGGCCUGUUAAGUCGAACGUGAAAUCCCUGGGCUCAACCCAGGAACUGCGUCCGAUACUGGCAGGCUUGAAUUCGGGAGAGGGAUGCGGAAUUCCAGGUGUAGCGGUGAAAUGCGUAGAUAUCUGGAGGAACACCGGCGGUGUAGACGGCUCUCUGGACAGUAACUGACGCUGAGACACGAAAGCGUGGGGAGCAAACAGG
RNAcentral lists this ribosomal RNA (253 nucleotides) under uncultured bacterium. Its description in RNAcentral is "partial 16S ribosomal RNA". It matches the Rfam family "Bacterial small subunit ribosomal RNA", at positions 524 to 776 of the family's 1533-position model. The record is from RNAcentral.